AUGCACGCUGGCGGCGUGCCUAAUACAUGCAAGUCGAGCGAACGGACGAGAAGCUUGCUUCUCUGAUGUUAGCGGCGGACGGGUGAGUAACACGUGGAUAACCUACCUAUAAGACUGGGAUAACUUCGGGAAACCGUAGCUAAUACCGGAUAAUAUUUUGCACCGCAUGGUUCAAAAGUGAAAGACGGUCUUGCUGUCACUUAUAGAUGGAUCCGCGCUGCAUUAGCUAGUUGGUAAGGUGACGGCUUACCAAGGCAACGAUGCAUAGCCGACCUGAGAGGGUGAUCGGCCACACUGGAACUGAGACACGGUCCAGACUCCUACGGGAGGCAGCAGUAGGGAAUCUUCCGCAAUGGGCGAAAGCCUGACGGAGCAACGCCGCGUGAGUGAUGAAGGUCUUCGGAUCGUAAAACUCUGUUAUUAGGGAAGAACAUAUGUGUAAGUAACUGUGCACAUCUUGACGGUACCUAAUCAGAAAGCCACGGCUAACUACGUG
This 496-nucleotide ribosomal RNA is filed under the name uncultured bacterium. Its description in RNAcentral is "partial 16S ribosomal RNA". It matches the Rfam family "Bacterial small subunit ribosomal RNA", at positions 29 to 507 of the family's 1533-position model. The record is from RNAcentral.